GCGUCAGCAGCGCAAACCGCCUCUCACUCACUGCCACCUGGAUUUUGAGUGGAUUCUCCCGUCUCUCUCUCCUUUCGUCAUUAUUUUCUAUAUAUACCAUUUGCUCUCGCUUUUGUUUUUUUUGUUUUUGGGUACAAUAUUUGAUCUCGAUGUUCGCCGAUCGCCAUUAACAGCAGUCAACAGAUAUUGAGAAGAUACCGCGAAACCCUAGGAAUGACCGAACAAUCCAUCUCCAUUUCUCCUCGUCGACGAAGAGACAGCCGCUGAGAGAGAGAGAGAGAGAGAGAGAGAGAGAGAGAGAGGA
RNAcentral lists this long non-coding RNA (304 nucleotides) under Phoenix dactylifera (date palm). Its description in RNAcentral is "long non-coding RNA (PDAC_LNC017248)". Lineage: Eukaryota; Viridiplantae; Streptophyta; Magnoliopsida; Arecales; Arecaceae. The record is from RNAcentral.